This is a long non-coding RNA of Cavia porcellus (domestic guinea pig), 1642 nucleotides long. The record is from Ensembl. Lineage: Eukaryota; Metazoa; Chordata; Mammalia; Rodentia; Caviidae.
UAGUACGUAAGUAUGAUUGACCUUUUGGAAUCGUUGGAUUAUAUGGUUAGAAAUGUACCUUAUAGGAAAUAUAAACCUAAUUUACCACUUCAUACCAAUUGUAGGCAAUGGUGGAAGUAUGCCAUUGAUUCAGUUCUUGAAGUUCAUAUAAGAAGAUGUACACAGAUGUGGUCAUGGUGUAACAUAAAGAAGCAUAGAGAGUUACUCAAGAGUUAUAAAAUCGCUUACAAGAAUAAGCUAACUCAGACUAAACUCUCGGAAGAAAUCCAGAAACAAAUUCAGGACCUGGAGAAGACUUUAGAUGUUUUUAACAUAAUUUUAGCAAGGCAACAAGCACAAGUCGAGUAUGUUGCCUAUAUAAUGACCUUGAAGUUGGUAAGCACUUCUAUUGUAAUCAGAGAAAACAAAAAUAUUCCUGAAAUCCUAAAAAUCCAGAUCAUUGGCCUGGGCACCCAAGUAUGCCAGCGACCAGGAGCGCAAGCCCUUAAGGUAGAAGCAAAGUUAGAAGACUGGUAUAUCACAGGUCUGAGACAGCAGGAUACUGUGCCAUCCCUUGUGGCUUCCAUUGGUGACACUGCAUCAUCCUUGCUUAAAAUUGAGUUUGAAACCAAUCCAGAGAACAGCCUUGCUGACCAGACGCUGACCGUCCAGUCCCAGCCCGUGGAGGUCAUCUACGAUGCUAAAACCAUCAAUGCAGUGGUUGAUUUCUUUCAGUCAAAUAGGGGAUUGGAUCUUGAGCAAAUAACAUCAGCUACUUUGAUGAAGCUGGAAGAAAUUAAAGAGAGAACAGCUACUGGACUUACACAUAUAAUUGAGACUCGAAAAGUUCUUGAUUUAAGGAUAAAUCUGAAGCCUUCUUAUCUAAUAGUUCCACAGACAGGCUUCCACCAUGAAAAGUCAAAUCUUCUCAUUUUAGAUUUUGGUACAUUUCAGCUCAACAGUAAAAGUCAAGGUCUACAGAAGACUACCAGUUCAUCUUUGGAAGAAAUAAUGGAUAAAGCAUAUGACAAGUUUGAUGUUGAAAUAAAGAGUGUGCAACUACUCUUUGCAAGAGCAGGGGAAAACUGGAAGAAGUGUCGUUUUCAGCACCCGUCCACUAUGCAUAUACUGCAGCCCAUGGAUAUUCAUGUGGAGCUAGCCAAGGCGAUGGUAGAGAAGGACACGAGAAUGGCCAGAUUUAAAGCAUCAGGAGGACUUCCUUUGAUGCAUGUGAGGAUUUCAGACCAGAAGAUGAAAGAUGUGCUGUGUUUGAUUAACAGUAUACCUUUGCCACAGAAAUCAUCAACUCAAUCUCCAGAGAGACAGGUAUCGUCAGUUCCUGUUGCUUCAAGUGGGACAAAAGUUCUCCUUGGUACUUCAUUAUUGCUGAGUGAAAUGGAUUCAGAGUCUGACGAUGAGUAUUUCGACGCUGAAGACGGUGCCUCCCAGGUGCCUAGAGGUGCGCCAGGCUCCGAACCCCGAAAGGCUGCGGAGGUUCCGAACGAGGCCCUCGUUAAUCUUCUGCUCAAGUUUGAAGUUAAAGAAGAUCAAGAAAAAAGCCCCUUCACUUGAUUAGCUCUUCUGACAAACCUGGGUCAGAUCUUUUAAAAGUAGAGUAUAUUAAGGUAAGGACCAUGGCAGUGCUGGAGAACCUGUGGAGAGA